Molecule: ribosomal RNA, 684 nt
Filed under: Triticum aestivum (bread wheat)
Lineage: Eukaryota; Viridiplantae; Streptophyta; Magnoliopsida; Poales; Poaceae
Description: partial small subunit ribosomal RNA
Source: RNAcentral
AUGUGCAGAGGGAAGUUCGCCGCCAACGACCGCGGCAUGGGGCGUCCCGGCCAAGCCCUGUCGGCGGGGAAGGCGGAAAUGCGCGGCAGCUGGUCGACGGAUGAGGAUUCUGACGACUGGGAGGCCGCCCUCCGGGAGUUCAUGGCCGCCGCCGACGGCGACGGCCGCAAUGAGCCGCUCCCCACAGGUACCAUGGCAUCCUGCGAGCUAUACAGCUCGCCGGCCAUGGCGAGGCCGAGGCGGCGCAGGGCGAGCCCUAGCCACCCGUACCGCGGCAUCCGGCAGCGGGCGUGGGGGAGGUGGUCGGCGGAAAUCCGCGACACUUUCAAGGGCGCUCGCGUCUGGAUCGGCACCUUCGACACGGCCGCGGAGGCCGCCCGCGCCUACGACGCCGAGGCGCGGCGCAUCCACGGUAGAAAGGCCAGGACAAACUUCCCUGCAGCGCCGGCGGCGCCGUGCAGCCAUCGUCCUGGACCGUCUUCUUGCACCACCGAUGACGGCGCGGACAACGUGGCCCGUGCAACGGAGAGCGCCUCGUCUUCGUCCAAGGAUGUCCACGGGACUGCGCCUUCCGACGCGCACAUACUGCUGGAGUGCUGCUCGGACGACGUCAUGGAGAGCCUCCUCGCCGGCUCCGACGUGGCCGGCAACAUGGACCUCUGGAGCUUGCGGUUCCCGAGAUAA